This 869-nucleotide long non-coding RNA is filed under the name Nicotiana benthamiana. RNAcentral's name for it is "long non-coding RNA (NBEN_LNC037603)". Lineage: Eukaryota; Viridiplantae; Streptophyta; Magnoliopsida; Solanales; Solanaceae. The record is from RNAcentral.
CUCUUUUGACUUCUGCUGGAAUCAAUAUUGCAGUCUGUGUGGUGCUGUUCUUUUUGUAUUCCUUAUUGAGGAAACAACCAACUUUUGUAAAUGUCUACUUCAGCCAGAGAUUUGCUCGUCAUGUACGAAAAAGAUACCUUGGUACCUUUUGCUUGAACCGAUUUGUUCCUUCUCCUAGUUGGAUCUUGAAGGCAUGGGAAUCAUCUGAUGAAGAGAUAGUAGCUGCCGGGGGCUUGGAUGCCCUAGUGUUGGUGCGGAUGAUUGUUUUCAGGUGAAAGCUGAACUUUCCGCAUUGUAUUAAUUACUUCCUCUUCUGUCAUGUACGAACAAGACACCUUGGUACCUUUUGCUUUAACCGAUUUGUUCCUUCUCCUAGUUGGAUCUUGAAGGCAUGGGAAGCAUCUGAUGAAGAGAUAGUUGCUGCCGGGGGCUUGGAUGCAUUAGUGUUGGUGCGGAUGAUUGUUUUCAGGUGAAAGCUGAACCUUCCUCAUUGUAUUAAUUACUUCCUCUUCUGUGUUUGCUGAAAAACGUCGAUUUAAUGCCUGAAAUUCAGGGGUGGCAGCAUUUUCUUCCCUCAAGUUCGUUCACGUUCCUACUGAAUUUAUUGUUUUUUUGCGGAAUAUUUCAUCAAGUUGAGGAAUCCACUGAAAAGAUGCUUACUUAUUUCUGAAAAUAUUAUUGCUUGUUUGCAUGGCCUGAUCUUGAAAUAGACACUGUUCUCACUAUAAAGAUGGACAAUCUUGAUUUCAUUAUACUAGCUUUCAUAGAUAUGCUCAAAUGGUGUGUAUUUCCUAGUAAGGAUGCAUGGCAUGUGUCAGAUGGUAAAUUUGUUAGUUGACAGUAUACUGCAUGCCUGUCUUUGUUCCUCC